Molecule: non-coding RNA, 1013 nt
Organism: Paralichthys olivaceus (Japanese flounder)
Lineage: Eukaryota; Metazoa; Chordata; Actinopteri; Pleuronectiformes; Paralichthyidae
Source: RefSeq, a predicted model, not a curated record
AGGAAGCAAAUCACCUGAAGUAACUACAAAAUAAAAGCAAAUGCAAUAAUAGUGAAACAGCUGAGCCAGUUUUCAUCACUGAGGUUUUGUGUGGCAGGUCUGUGAUCGAUGAAGCUGCAGUCGCUUUGAGAAAUGCUGCAGGAAACUACUACGUCAACGAUAAAUCCACCGGCUCCGUCGUUGCCCAGCAGCCAUUUGGUGGCGCCAGAGCUUCAGGGACCAACGACAAACCUGGAGGUUCUCACUACGUCCUGAGGUGGACGUCUCCGCAGGUGGUGAAACAGACAAACAUCCCCCUCCGUGACUGGAGGUAUCCCUACAUGGGUUGAGAGCUGUCCAAUCCGAGACCUCCGUCCAAUCAGCUUCAACCACACAAACAGGUUGUCUCCAUCAUGUCCCUCUUUGCACUGAACCUGGAGGUGAAUGAGAGGUCACGUCUACGUCCACAUCAUCAACCCACAGAAUCAUCCUGCAAAGUUACAGCUGAAACGAUUGAAUGAUUAAUGUCUUCAUCCUCUGUCACAUUGUCCUGUUGGAAGAUGUCCUCAUCUGAAACAACUGAUCAUUGAUAGAUCGUUAGACUGUUAAAUAUCAGAAAACUAAUCUAUUAAUAGUUUUUUCAUGUGAUCAGUUUGUCUUUUAAUUGUGGAGCUUGACAUGAAACUGAAUCAAUAUCAGACUAAUUCUGUCCUGAAUUAAAUAAAGUUAGAAUUUAUAGUUUAUUUUACAUAUGAAACUGAAGAUUUGAUUGUGUAAUAUUUGUUGGUUUAAAUGUUAAAGAAGCUCCAGUGACGUCGACUUGUUUCGAAACCAAAAACUGCAGCUUCAGUUUGUGACUUUAUUUUCAUGAUGUGACGACGUCUUUAAACCAUUUUUCUUCCACUUACGUUUGAAACCUGCUGAAAAUAUUCUGAUAACGUACAAAAACGAGGUCAAAGGUUAUUUUUCAUGUUGCACUUGAAUCUUGAGCUCAAACAAAAGAUUUAUCAUAUUUUCAUUACUCUGAUGCCUUA